This 118-nucleotide ribosomal RNA is filed under the name uncultured bacterium. Its description in RNAcentral is "partial 16S ribosomal RNA". The record is from RNAcentral.
AGCUCACACUAUUAAUGAAAACUAAUUUCUUCCCAGUUGACAGAGCUUUACGACCCAAAGGCCUUCUUCACUCACGCGGCGUUGCUGCGUCAGGGUUGCCCCCAUUGCGCAAAAUUCC